AGUGGGGUGGUUCAGCCUUUCGAGGGUAAUGUUAGCUCGUAACAUAGUGCUAUUAACUCAUGGUUACAGGUUGUCAGAUGCGGCCAAAUGGCUCGAGGGUCGGCGACGGGGUUGCAUGGCUCUGUGUCAGAGUUCCAACACUUGGCCGAAACGCCCGCCAUGCUGCCAAUCUCUAUGUCUCUGUGAAUUGGAGGAGAGGGCUAAAGUGGGGGAGAAGUCCAAUAAGCAGUGACCUAAAGGUCCUUUUACAAGCAUCUUUACCACAUCACAAGGUAAAUGCUUUGGGAUCACUGUGACAUGAUUUAUCUACCAUGCAUUUCCAGGACACAUUGAUACAUACACUGCAGUUUUAGUACUCGUAAAGGAUGAUGAGUUAUGUCAGACUAAAUAGUGUCAUCCAUAUCUACCUUUUCUCUUUCUGUAGGACAAACUUGUUGCUUUCUUGUAGGGUUUGAUAUUAGGUUGCCAGAAACAGAGCCAGGAAGGAAGGAGUUUUCGGGUUUUCCAAACAACUCAUUCUUCUAUUCUUCUGGAAGAAUGAAAUGGACCCUAAGAUUAAUAAGAAAAACUAUGGUAGUUUAGAGUGACACAUUAUCUAAGAGUAGAUUAACAUCUUUCUCCUUUUAGCUCAAUCAGGACAAAAGAUCUGUGGAGGAUGCAAGUAAGUCAGUCAGCUUGGCCAUUGAAUUACUGUAAGUGCUCUGUGGUGGAUGCAAGAUUGGAUUUGCUAACCUUCAAUCGGCUUUCUAGUGUUCUUUCUACUGUCAUAGUAUAGUAUAGUUAGGAAAUCUGAAGAGUUGGUGUUGAGGAUUCAUAUCUAUGCACAACAUAAAGCUGGCAGCAACAUUUAACAUGAAUCUUAGAAUUCUACUUUGCCCUUCUUAUGGGCCACCUCCAUAUGUUAUUAUAUAGACUAUACCUAUUCUCUUCUUGAUUGUGAAGCAUAGUCCUUAUUUUUCUCACUCCUAUGGACUGAUGAUUUAGGAUUGACUUCUUUCUAGAUUUUGCUUCAUUGUUAGGAUUGUUCAUCAAGUGCUGCUGCACAUUCAAAAGUGCAGUAUGUUUGCCUCAGAAUGCUGACUGACACACAUGCGCAAGAACAUACCUGUCUUCAACAUCCUAAAUACCAUGCAUUAGUGCUGCACACUGCACCAUUGGUUGUAACCUGUUAGCACUCUGAGGUGCCAUAUCUUUCCCAUCAAAUGCCAAACAUUCUAAACUUUAUAGUUUACAUGCCAAGCAGUAAUUUGUGGAAUCAACAGCAGUCAUGCAACCUUAUUCCUUCAAGUUCCGUGCUUGCGAACUGAUUACUUUGAGCUAAUUUUUUGGACAAAAUGUCACUGAAAUAUGGUUAUAUUAUCAAGAAAACAAAUUUUCAGUGACAUUUUGUCCAAAAAUUUAUUAGGCAAGAUGAAUUGAUUAGUUUGAGUGAUCUACUAGAAAUACUAAAGAGUAAUUAAUAGAAAGAGAUUUGGAUAUUCUUGGCUUUAUUAGAACUAUUAGCUUACACAAAGCUCAAUGGGGAAAAUUUAUGAAGCUUAUUUGUUGUUUUUUACUUAUAUUUGUUUAUGUCAAGCUCUUACUACAUAUUGUUAACUUGAAUUAGAACUAAAGCCGGAUGUUUAUUAUGAAUCUUGAUGCAAAAAUUCUCCUACAAAUUAGUCAUUACAUGUUCUGCAUAUGUUUUCUUAUUUCCUCUUGCCAUAGUUCAAUUGCAGAUCACUUUAUAGUGGAAGGCGAAUCAACCAACUACUGCUACAAACAAAUUAAUAUGACACUACCAACUUUUAC
This 1791-nucleotide long non-coding RNA is filed under the name Musa acuminata (dwarf banana). RNAcentral describes it as "long non-coding RNA (MACU_LNC004392)". The record is from RNAcentral. Lineage: Eukaryota; Viridiplantae; Streptophyta; Magnoliopsida; Zingiberales; Musaceae.